UAACGCGAAGAACCUUACCAGGUCUUGACAUCCUUUGAAGCUUUUAGAGAUAGAAGUGUUCUCUUCGGAGACAAAGUGACAGGUGGUGCAUGGUCGUCGUCAGCUCGUGUCGUGAGAUGUUGGGUUAAGUCCCGCAACGAGCGCAACCCUUAUUGUUAGUUGCCAGCAUUCAGAUGGGCACUCUAGCGAGACUGCCGGUGACAAACCGGAGGAAGGCGGGGACGACGUCAGAUCAUCAUGCCCCUUAUGACCUGGGCUACACACGUGCUACAAUGGCGUAUACAACGAGUUGCCAACCCGCGAGGGUGAGCUAAUCUCUUAAAGUACGUCUCAGUUCGGAUUGUAGUCUGCAACUCGACUACAUGAAGUCGGAAUCGCUAGUAAUCGCGGAUCAGC
RNAcentral lists this ribosomal RNA (396 nucleotides) under uncultured bacterium. Its description in RNAcentral is "bacterial SSU rRNA". It matches the Rfam family "Bacterial small subunit ribosomal RNA", at positions 957 to 1353 of the family's 1533-position model. The record is from RNAcentral.